GUGGCCAUAGCUCAAUGGCAGAGCGCCUGACUGUGGAUCAGGAGGUUGCGGGUUCGACACCCGUUGGCCACC
RNAcentral lists this transfer RNA (72 nucleotides) under Chloroflexota bacterium. RNAcentral describes it as "tRNA-His". It matches the Rfam family "tRNA". Rfam says of the family: Transfer RNA (tRNA) molecules are approximately 80 nucleotides in length. Lineage: Bacteria; Bacillati; Chloroflexota. The record is from RNAcentral.